Puntigrus tetrazona (Sumatra barb) is the source of this 1773-nucleotide long non-coding RNA. RefSeq lists it as uncharacterized. The transcript is spliced from 3 exons. The record is from RefSeq and is a predicted model, not a curated record. NCBI's taxonomy places the organism in Eukaryota, Metazoa, Chordata, Actinopteri, Cypriniformes, Cyprinidae.
GUGAAUGAAUAUGUUUUUUUAUGUUUUUAGAAAAAGUGUAAUAUAAAAAAAUUAUGCAAUUCUUUAAGCAAUCAGCUGGGGAAUAUAUGGAGAUAUCUUCUAUUAUAUUUUAUUAUUUCAUUUUUAUUUUUUAUUUAUUUAUUUUAAGUAAGCGCUGAUUUGUCAGCUUUUAGUUAUUGGUCAGUAGUGAGUGAUUUUUAGACUUAAGGUUUAUUCUAUUUCUGUUAUUUUAAUAUCUGUGUUUUAUCUUGUCAUUCUGUUGCAAUGUGGAAAAAUAUUUUAAUAUUUUAAAUAUUUUUUAAUUAAAUGUUUUUUUAAUCAGUGCUUUUAUACAAUACAGCAGAAAUGAAAUGUGCCGAGGGUGAAUAUUUUUUCCUUUUUUAAUAAUAAACACAGCUCACAUUAAAUCACCCUAUACCCCGUCAGCUUAAACAUGUCCGAAAAGCGGGCGCGUGCUUUGUGUGUCAAUCAUUGUUCCGACCAGCUCUUAAAAAUCUCUGUGAUCUCUUGUGUAUGGACUUUGGAGAGCUUAUAUCAGCAUUUACGUGUGAGGAUGGAUUAUGGAUCGGGUCAGUGGGGCCAGUGUCCCGGGGCCUCUGACCAUCACGGGCCUCUACAGCAGUGACCGCAUUUGAUGCUGUUCACUAAUCAUGCCGCAUAUGUGACUUUUUGGCAAAGCGAGCGUGUUGACUUCCGCAACUGCAACCACAAUAAGAUGAGACUCGGUGGGGCGGCUUCGGUGAUUUCACAGCAGACGUUUACAAAGGUUUGGAGGCGGCUCCUGUUCUCGGCUGUGAGAGACUGAACACUUAUCUGUGGGAAAAAUGAAAAGAGAGACAGAGGUGUGUUCAACGGAUCAUAAUGCUGUUUAACAACAUACCGUUUGUGCAGGAAAGAACGUUUACAGCUGACAGAAACACCUGAAAACAGCUGUGUAUGAUGAAGGACUUUUAUCCCCCUAUUGAAAUAAAGCGAUACAGUGCAUGAAGCGUAAACCGGCAAUAAAUAACAACACCAUUGCAACAAAAACAGUACAGUGCUCUUUUUCCAAGCAGCAGAACUUCCUGUAUCUUUGCUGACUAGUUUUAUCUCAUUGGUGAAAGGAAAACCAGUUCCCUUAAACUUGAGGCACGACUGUCUUUCUUAGAAUUGACCGUAAAACAGAACAAAACGGAUCUGGCUUUCCGUGAAAGCUUCCUCCCAGGAAUGUCUUCUCAUUCCUAACCGUCUCGUACUUCCACCUUCUCAGGGAGAGUUCAUAAUAAGGGUCGAGUAUGAAUCGGUUUCAUCAGGCUGAGUCAGUGGAAACAUGCUGUCAUGGACACUAGUAAAAGGAUAAGGGUGCGAUGACAUCAUUAGGGGACAUAAGAGCCGGGCAAGUGUUAAAAACAAUAGACGGGAGAGGAACUACAAAACAAUGGAUAGGCAUCACAGUCUGAAGAUGAUCUCAUCCCUAAAUGGCUAUCUGUUAAAAUAAAAUAAAAAAUAAAUAAAAAAAAACAGGCGAAUCAUCAAUAUUUUUAAUAAUAAAAGUGAUAAUAAAUAAAAAUAAUUUCUUCUAAUUCGAACCAUUUCCGGCAGAUCGUGUUGAGUUCCAAGUAAGUGUUGAUUCUGAAGCACGUGAUCGGUUUUUAUUAAACCUGAUGGUUAUAAUCCUCGGCUUUAAUAAGACACACCUUAUGAGGGAUGAACAACAUCCGCCACGUGUUUAGCGGACUUAAAGUUUAGCCUUAUGAAGUUACGUUAAACAUUAACCUUAAUAAUCACGAUCGA